CCUAGGGAGCUGCAGUGGGGAAUAUUGGACAAUGGGCGAAAGCCUGAUCCAGCCAUGCCGCGUGUGUGAAGAAGGCCUUCGGGUUGUAAAGCACUUUCAGUGGGGAAGAAAGCCUUGGGGCUAAUACCCUCGAGGAAGGACAUCACCCACAGAAGAAGCACCGGCUAACUCCGUGCCAGCAGCCGCGGUAAUACGGAGGGUGCGAGCGUUAAUCGGAAUUACUGGGCGUAAAGCGCGCGUAGGCGGUCUGAUAAGCCGGUUGUGAAAGCCCCGGGCUCAACCUGGGAACGGCAUCCGGAACUGUCAGGCUAGAGUGCAGGAGAGGAAGGUAGAAUUCCCGGUGUAGCGGUGAAAUGCGUAGAGAUCGGGAGGAAUACCAGUGGCGAAGGCGGCCUUCUGGACUGACACUGACGCUGAGGUGCGAAAGCGUGGGUAGCAAACAGGAUUAGAUACCCUGGUAGUC
Molecule: ribosomal RNA, 463 nt
Filed under: Vreelandella stevensii
Lineage: Bacteria; Pseudomonadati; Pseudomonadota; Gammaproteobacteria; Oceanospirillales; Halomonadaceae
Description: partial 16S ribosomal RNA
Rfam family: Bacterial small subunit ribosomal RNA
Source: RNAcentral